ACAUCUGAAAGGGACUAAAGAUUUAUCGGUGAUGGAUGGGGAUGCGUCUGAUUAGCUUGUUGGCGGGGUAACGGCCCACCAAGGCAACGAUCAGUAGGGGUUCUGAGAGGAAGGUCCCCCAUAUUGGAACUGAGACACGGUCCAAACUCCUACGGGAGGCAGCAGUGAGGAAUAUUGGUCAAUGGGCGAGAGCCUGAACCAGCCAAGUAGCGUGCAGGAUGACGGCCCUAUGGGUUGUAAACUGCUUUUAUAAGGGAAUAAAGUGAGAGUCGUGACUCUUUUUGCAUGUACCUUAUGAAUAAGGACCGGCUAAUUCCGUGCCAGCAGCCGCGGUAAUACGGAAGGUCCGGGCGUUAUCCGGAUUUAUUGGGUUUAAAGGGAGCGUAGGCCGGAGAUUAAGCGUGUUGUGAAGUGUAGACGCUCAACGUCUGCACUGCAGCGCGAACUGGUUUCCUUGAGUACGCACAAAGUGGGCGGAAUUCGUGGUGUAGCGGUGAAAUGCUUAGAUAUCACGAAGAACUCCGAUUGCGAAGGCAGCUCACUGGAGCGCAACUGACGCUGAAGCUCGAAAGUGCGGGUAUCGAACAGGAUUAGAUACCCUGGUAGUCCGCACGGUAAACGAUGGAUGCCCGCUGUUGGUCUGAAUAGGUCAGCGGCCAAGCGAAAGCAUUAAGCAUCCCACCUGGGGAGUACGCCGGCAGCGGUGCAACUCAAAGGAAUUGACGGA
Molecule: ribosomal RNA, 727 nt
Filed under: uncultured bacterium
Lineage: Bacteria
Also listed under: 1 other name
Description: bacterial SSU rRNA
Rfam family: Bacterial small subunit ribosomal RNA
Source: RNAcentral